RNAcentral lists this ribosomal RNA (518 nucleotides) under uncultured bacterium. RNAcentral's name for it is "bacterial SSU rRNA". It matches the Rfam family "Bacterial small subunit ribosomal RNA", at positions 8 to 526 of the family's 1533-position model. The record is from RNAcentral.
AGAGUUUGAUCAUGGCUCAGGAUGAACGCUAGCGGGAGGCCUAACACAUGCAAGCCGAGCGGUAUUUGUUCUUCGGAACAGAGAGAGCGGCGCACGGGUGCGGAACACGUGUGCAACCUGCCUUUAUCUGGGGGAUAGCCUUUCGAAAGGAAGAUUAAUACCCCAUAAUAUAUUGAGUGGCAUCACUUAAUAUUGAAAACUCCGGUGGAUAGAGAUGGGCACGCGCAAGAUUAGAUAGUUGGUGAGGUAACGGCUCACCAAGUCAAUGAUCUUUAGGGGGCCUGAGAGGGUGAUCCCCCACACUGGUACUGAGACACGGACCAGACUCCUACGGGAGGCAGCAGUGAGGAAUAUUGGACAAUGGGUUAGCGCCUGAUCCAGCCAUCCCGCGUGAAGGACGACGGCCCUAUGGGUUGUAAACUUCUUUUGUAUAGGGAUAAACCUACUCUCGUGAGAGUAGCUGAAGGUACUAUACGAAUAAGCACCGGCUAACUCCGUGCCAGCAGCCGCGGUAAUAC